UAGAAGCGGCAACAGCUCAAAUUUGAAAUCUGGUCCCCUUUGGGGGCCCGAGUUGUAAUUUGAAGAGGAUGCUUUUGGCGAGGCGCCGUCCGAGUUCCCUGGAACGGGACGCCGCAGAGGGUGAGAGCCCCGUACGGUCGGACGCCGAGCCUCUGUAAAGCUCCUUCGACGAGUCGAGUAGUUUGGGAAUGCUGCUCAAAAUGGGAGGUAAACCCCUUCUAAAGCUAAAUACCGGCCAGAGACCGAUAGCGCACAAGUGGAGUGAUCGAAAGAUGAAAAGCACUUUGAAAAGAGAGUUAAAAAGCACGUGAAAUUGUUAAAAGGGAAGCGCUUGCGACCAGACUUGCGCCCGUCGGAUCAACCGUCGCUUGCGGCGGCGCACUCCGGCGGGCUCAGGCCAGCAUCAGUUCGCCUGGGGGGAGAAAGGCGGCGGGAAUGUGGCUCUUCGGAGUGUUAUAGCCCGCCGUGUAAUACCCUCGGGUGGACUGAGGACCGCGCGUAUGCAAGGAUGCUGGCGUAAUGGUCGUCAGCGACCCGUCUUGAAACACGGACCAAGGAGUCGUCCUAAUAUGCGAGUGUACGGGUGUCAAACCCCUGCGCGUAAUGAAAGUGAACGGAGGUGAGAGCUUCGGCGCAUCAUCGACCGAUCCUGAUGUUAUCGGAUGGAUUUGAGUAAGAGCAUAUUGGGCCGGACCCGAAAGAAGGUGAACUAUGCCUGUGUAGGGUAAAGCCAGAGGAAACUCUGGUGGAGGCUCGCAGCGGUUCUGACGUGCAAAUCGAUCGUCAAACAUGGGCAUGGGGGCGAAAGACUAAUCGAACCUUCUAGUAGCUGGUUUCCGCCGAAGUUUCCCUCAGGAUAGCAGUGUUGAAUUUCUCAGUUUUAUGAGGUAAAGCGAAUGAUUAGGGACUCGGGGGCGCUUUUUAGCCUUCAUCCAUUCUCAAACUUUAAAUAUGUAAGAAGCCCUUGUUACUUCAUUGAACGUGGGCCUUCGAAUGUAUCAACACUAGUGGGCCAUUUUUGGUAAGCAGAACUGGCGAUGCGGGAUGAACCGAUCGCGGGGAUAAGGUGCCGGAGUGGACGCUCAUCAGACACCACAAAAGGUGUUAUCACAUCUAGACAGCAGGACGGUGGCCAUGGAAGUCGGAAUCCGCUAAGGACUGUGUAACAACUCACCUGCCGAAUGUGAUAGCCCUGAAAAUGGAUGGCGCUCAAGCGUCCCACCCAUACCCCGCCCUCAGGGUAGACACGAUGCCCUGAGGAGUAGGCGGACGU
RNAcentral lists this ribosomal RNA (1273 nucleotides) under Scopulariopsis sp. Its description in RNAcentral is "LSU rRNA". It matches the Rfam family "Eukaryotic large subunit ribosomal RNA", at positions 93 to 1392 of the family's 3401-position model. Lineage: Eukaryota; Fungi; Ascomycota; Sordariomycetes; Microascales; Microascaceae. The record is from RNAcentral.